CGCUUCGCCACAAGUUUAGGUGCACAAGAAAUGUGACCUCUCAACAAAUUAAAAAGAAACUAUUAUGGCGAAAUAUGGGUUUUGCGCCGAUGGUACUACCCACGUGAGUAGCGAGAACGUUCUAGGAAGCUCGAUAUUUCCUGGAACCGAAUUUUAUUUACUUAUUACCCAAAGGUCCCAUCGAGGGACAUUACGUGAGGGGUGGGCAUGUAAAGGGCGGAACCCAUGAUGAUGAUGAUGUUAGAAAAGAUGAGUCAGAGUAUUCUAUGGCAUAUCUGAAACGCCCUAGAUCACUGAUUGGUGCAGUUUGUCCCGGAAGUUCAUAUAUCAACGCCUGGGGAAAAUUCGAUGAACAUAGCGUUUUUUAGUUGGUAACUUUUUUUUUUGGGGCGAGAAAAACUUCACGUGCCAUGCAUAACACCACGUUUCAGAGUUGUUCUAUUCUGAACAUGUAGUUCAACAUGGGACAGGUAGUACAUAAAACAAAACAUUACAAACACCAUAUUUUAUUUCAGAGUGCUGUGAUGACUGACUUGGACGCAUAAACGGCUUGUGCACGAAUAUGUGUAAUAGUCAUAUAGAUACAUUUAUAUACAACUGUGUCGUCGCUUGUCGACAAGGCUGAUGAGGCGCGAACUAUCACACACGUUGCGCUUAAUAUGCACUAUCAACAUGAGCUCCGGCUUAACUCGGCACGUUAUCACAAUUGCCGAGAGAAUGGGCAAUCACACCGCUCCAUAGCAAAUGUCGUCAUAAGCGCUCCGCUCUUGUUUUUGUUUAGGCUAGGCUGGAGAACGAGAGAGCAUGGCCGAUGCUGUUUUGCCUCUUCAUCUUCUAUCAUGACUAACGUAUCUAGCGCGAAGUAAUGUACAAAACGCAGUGCCAAUAGAUAAUAAUGCAAGCACAGUUUCAACUUGCCUUCUCAUGCUGACUCAUGUGUCACGGACCAGCCACGCUAUCAAGUCAGUAAGCGGCGAUCGACGAGACACAGCACGCAUGCGUACAUUCCCGGCAUUCUCUACUAAGGCGUCGAGGGCAUCCUGUUAUCGGCGGACACACUCGGUAGUGACGCGCUGUUCUCUUCAGCGAGGUAACUGAACCGCUAGGGCCGUUCUGACGAAGGUAUGUUUUAGUAUAAUUUGUAUUCGUGGGUAGCGGCAACGCGUUAUUAUGCUAACAGUUUAUCUGAGUGAGACUUAACCUUGCUCUUGCCUUGAGUUCUUGUUUUGCAGGAAUGAGCAACACGAUGACCAAAAGCCACAUACGACGUUGACAAGCUGCGCAUAGCAACCGUUAGGGCAUUGGAGUUCCGCAUGUUGAGCCGCGUAUUGCCACUUGUUUUUCAAGGAUCCGUAGUCUGCUGGUGGUGGCUGCAAUAGACAUUGCUGUCCUUCGACGCCUCCCAGAAGAGAUUCCGAGAGGCUUCCGGACUCAAGGAGUGCCUGCUGUCGGAGCUGCAGUACGUGCCGCCACCACUGCCCUCGAGUCAGUCCCAGGGACGCGGCUGUGCCUCGAGUGGUCCUGGCGGCUAUGAGGGUAGACCCACACAUCGCAAUGUGAUGAAGGCACUCGACCAUCGCAUAUUUGCGCGAGCAAGGGUUGAUGUUAGGCCACUGGUUCAUCAAAGCUGGGUCGUAGAAACUGAUGGCCUAAGACCUUGGUGGGGGCAGCCGCAGUCAGCGCGGAUCACCAGGCAAGUACGUACGUCCUUUGACACGGCAGUACGUCGUAAUUACGGGAAGCCGCUGCUACCAGUGUGGCGGGCUUAGGCACUGCCACUAGAAGCGAGCUACACUGGAACCUAAACCAUCAGGAAAACCAAACACUGGCAGUGCUCAUACGAGGGGGUGCGACGCUUACAGCCAACGGUGCAUCUGCAUGGUGAAACAGUAUCUCUUCUGUGGGCCGUGUAAAGCGUAUACCACAAGCUGUACCAGCGAGGUUCAAUGUGAAUGCACUACGCAGUAAACGUAAGAGCAUUUCUUGACACAUGCUCUAGCGUCACAUUAAACGUGGAGGCAUUGUAGUACUGCGCGGCGAACAACGUAGAGCUUGGGGCAAACACGCCGGCACAGUGCUCCCAGAUCGACGACGUCCUGGGGCCAUUUUCUAGGUUCACGCAGCGCAAGGAAAACAUUCGCUGGCAAUGCAUCUAUGCUGCUGACUCGAUGUCGUGACAAUGCAGCCAGCGAACUCGAUGUGUCUACAAGCGAGCGCUCUCUGUUAACGGCAUCGCACGAUAUAUUCAUUGCCGUGUCUUUCAACCAUCGAAUAGCUCAUGGGCCUUCUUUGUGGUUCUUGAGUCCAGGUAAGGUGAGUAAGCACGCCCCUCCUUCGAAUAUAACCGCAAACUGAAUGAAAUGGCGGUAACGAACUCAGUACCAUUUUCUAUGAAUUCAGAUGACGAUGCGCUUUGUCCGCAGACAAGGAUAUACCGAAUGCAAGUGGUGCCAGUAUGAGCGUAGCAUGGUCAGCCGUGUACCAAGACUUGCUCAGGUGUGUGUGAUCAUGUUUUGUCUACCAAAUCAAAGUUUAUCGUUAGUGACAUAUGUUUGCAGGGCCGGCAGCCAGUGAGUGUUUGCACGUGUGCUCGAGCGCCGUGAGUGUGCAUGCUUUCGACCGACAAGCCCGCGAUGAAAGCGCUCACGGGUCCAGUCAAUGGCUUCACCCCGGAGCUAGACUGCGCAUGCCUCACGUGUUCUUUGCCCGCAACGAUUUGAAUUUGCGCGUAAGCACAGCGCUGGGGUAGGGGCUGGCCGCACUCCGCGUGGGAUUUGUCACGGACAUACGGCUCUAUCCCUGGACAUCGUGCCCUGGGCCGCAAAGGACAGCGCCGGUCGACGCGCCAGUCGACGCACUGGAAUGUGUCCGGAAGAACUAUCCAUUCGACAGCACAGCAAGGUUCCUGCAGUCAUCGGGCCUUUGCCUGACCACGUCAGCCACAGGCUUCGCUGAGCAGCAGUGACUCCUAACGCACUGUGAACUCUAGCUUCGUGCUUGAUGCUACCUGUCAUAAGCGUUUUGCCGGUGAGCCCUUCACGAGUAACGUCGAGUGUGUUUUACCGUGGCCGCCACUACACUCUCGUCUCCAUUGUGAAACCCGUUUUUUUUUUUUUUGCGGUGAAUAAAGUGCUGUCGUGUGU
Long non-coding RNA from Dermacentor silvarum, 3143 nucleotides. RefSeq lists it as uncharacterized. The record is from RefSeq and is a predicted model, not a curated record. The transcript has 2 exons. NCBI's taxonomy places the organism in Eukaryota, Metazoa, Arthropoda, Arachnida, Ixodida, Ixodidae.